This 465-nucleotide ribosomal RNA is filed under the name uncultured Klebsiella sp. RNAcentral's name for it is "bacterial SSU rRNA". It matches the Rfam family "Bacterial small subunit ribosomal RNA", at positions 338 to 795 of the family's 1533-position model. Lineage: Bacteria; Pseudomonadati; Pseudomonadota; Gammaproteobacteria; Enterobacterales; Enterobacteriaceae. The record is from RNAcentral.
CCUACGGGUGGCAGCAGUGGGGAAUAUUGCACAAUGGGCGCAAGCCUGAUGCAGCCAUGCCGCGUGUGUGAAGAAGGCCUUCGGGUUGUAAAGCACUUUCAGCGGGGAGGAAGGCGUUAAGGUUAAUAACCUUGGCGAUUGACGUUACCCGCAGAAGAAGCACCGGCUGACUCCGUGCCAGCAGCCGCGGUAAUACGGAGGGUGCAAGCGUUAAUCGGAAUUACUGGGCGUAAAGCGCACGCAGGCGGUCUGUCAAGUCGGAUGUGAAAUCCCCGGGCUCAACCUGGGAACUGCAUUCGAAACUGGCAGGCUAGAGUCUUGUAGAGGGGGGUAGAAUUCCAGGUGUAGCGGUGAAAUGCGUAGAGAUCUGGAGGAAUACCGGUGGCGAAGGCGGCCCCCUGGACAAAGACUGACGCUCAGGUGCGAAAGCGUGGGGAGCAAACAGGAUUAGAUACCCCUGUAGUC